UACAGAGGGUGCAAGCGUUAUUCGGAAUCACUGGGCGUAAAGAGCGCGUAGGCGGUUUGGUAAGUUUGGUGUGAAAGCCCCGGAUUCAAUUCGGGAAGUGCAUUGAAUACUGCUAGACUAGAGUAUAAGAGAGGAGGGCGGAAUUUCUGGUGUAGAGGUGAAAUUCGUAGAUAUCAGAAGGAACAACAGUGGCGAAGGCGGCCCUCUGGAUUAUUACUGACGCUAAGGCGCGAAAGCGUGGGGAGCAAACAGG
RNAcentral lists this ribosomal RNA (253 nucleotides) under uncultured bacterium. RNAcentral's name for it is "partial 16S ribosomal RNA". It matches the Rfam family "Bacterial small subunit ribosomal RNA", at positions 524 to 776 of the family's 1533-position model. The record is from RNAcentral.